RNAcentral lists this long non-coding RNA (531 nucleotides) under Carica papaya (papaya). Its description in RNAcentral is "long non-coding RNA (CPAP_LNC000428)". Lineage: Eukaryota; Viridiplantae; Streptophyta; Magnoliopsida; Brassicales; Caricaceae. The record is from RNAcentral.
CCAGGGCAUCUAAUCUAACAGGGAUGAAAAAAUUAUUUGAAUAUGCCAAUGAGCAAGUACCUAUAACCAAUGACGAAAGCUGGUCUCACAUGUAGGACUGUGGGCGAUGAAGGCCAUUUCUGGUUGCAGUGCUGCUGGACAGAGGCAUGGGGCUUGGAGAGUGGCUAGUACAUGGUUGGCUGGCGCAUGGCUGAUUUGUACACAGCCAGCUGUGCACUUAGUUGGCCGUCCGCAGGUGGCUGUCUGCGGCAGUGCAUGGCAGGGGGCAGUGAGGCUAGGCAGUGUGUGCAGCAGUGGGGGCACGUGUCUGAGUGGUUGCACGCAGCAGUGAAUUUAGCGCUGCUGGGUGGUUUUCGAGCUGAAGGCUGGUUGGUGAUGAUGGUUUCCAGCUAUGAAUGCUGGUUUAGGAUUUCUGGGUUGUCCACAGUUAAGGCCAAAAAAAUUAGGAAUCUUGAAAGGUGCAACAAUGAAGCCUGCACAUUGGUUGGAAAUUGCAGUAAUAAAGGAUGCAGAUAAUUUUAAAGAAGGUGG